UUGUUUUAUUCCUGAUUAUAAUGGGAAAUAUUUCAAUGUUGUACAAGCAAGAAUAGUUUGUGGUAACUUUUAUGUAGACACAUUUCUCAAAAUAACAGUUCCUCAUUGGUCUGAGCAGCGUGGAUGGCGGGAGAAGUGGUAGCAGCCAGGCAGCCCAGGUUCAUGAAAUCACUAGGCGUGCCACAGCCCUCAGGUACACAGCAUGCAUCAGCCCCACCACAGUGAUGCCCAAAAGGAUGGUCUGCUCCACCUCGGGAGCAGCCAAGGAGGGCAGCCAUGGAGGAGUCGUCUAGGUCGUCAGCCAAACCUGCUCCUGGAAAAGUGAAAACAAAGCACCAGAAAAAGCACCAGGAAAGGAUAAAUCUGCAGACAAAAAAGUGCAAACGAAAGGGAAAAGGGAAGCAAAGGGUCAGCAGGUCGAAGUGGCAGACCAGAAACCUGAAGACUUACCUGCAGAAAAUGGAGAAACUAAUGAGGAGAGUCCAGCCUCAGAUCAAGCAGGAGAAAAGGAAGCCACGUCUGAUUAAUAUCCUAUUGCAUGUCUUAUCAGUGGUCCCUGUCUCCCUGCUUAUACAAUCCAGAGGAAUAUUUUUGUCAACUAUUUUGUAAAUGUAAGUUUUUUGGUAGCUCUAGAAACAUUCUUAAGAAGGAGGGACUUCCACAUCAUCCCAUUUUUAAAAGUGUAAAUGCUUUUUUAAGAGGUGAAAUCAUUUGCUGGUUGUUUAUUUUUUUGGUACAACCAGAAAAUACUGGUAUAUUGAAUAUGGAAGGCUUUGAUUGUCUUGGGUUUCAGCUUAACAUUCCAUAGACAGGGGAGGUUUUUAUAUACUAGUAGAGUCCCGGUGCACAAAAAUUUGUGCACUCGGGUGGGGGGAGGAGAUGUC
This is an RNA transcript of Myotis davidii, 884 nucleotides long. It is a transcript of the gene named non-histone chromosomal protein HMG-14 pseudogene, with no coding region annotated. The record is from RefSeq and is a predicted model, not a curated record. The transcript has a single exon. NCBI's taxonomy places the organism in Eukaryota, Metazoa, Chordata, Mammalia, Chiroptera, Vespertilionidae.